GCAAACUUGGUCAUUUAGAGGAAGUAAAAGUCGUAACAAGGUUUCCGUAGGUGAACCUGCGGAAGGAUCAUUAACAAUUGUCCACCAAUCAUGGAUAAUUUUAUCCAUAUCCACCUUGUGUGAAUCACUGAAGCGUUUGUUGGCAGGCUUUUAAUGGGCUGUUUGCUCGGCCUGCCAAUUUUAUGUUUAAACAUGUCUAUAUUAUUUCCUUGACUGAAAUUGUAAUAUUAUAAUAAAAUACAACUUUCAACAACGGAUCUCUUGGCUCUCGCAUCGAUGAAGAACGCAGC
This 290-nucleotide unclassified non-coding RNA is filed under the name uncultured fungus. Its description in RNAcentral is "partial contains small subunit ribosomal RNA, internal transcribed spacer 1, and 5.8S ribosomal RNA". The stretch from base 1 to 73 matches the Rfam family "Eukaryotic small subunit ribosomal RNA", at positions 1759 to 1831 of the family's 1831-position model. The record is from RNAcentral. Lineage: Eukaryota; Fungi.